UAGGGAAUCUUCCACAAUGGACGCAAGUCUGAUGGAGCAACGCCGCGUGAGUGAAGAAGGUUUUCGGACCGUAAAGCUCUGUUGUUGGUGAAGAAGGAUAGAGGUAGUAACUGGCCUUUAUUUGACGGUAAUCAACCAGAAAGUCACGGCUAACUACGUGCCAGCAGCCGCGGUAAUACGUAGGUGGCAAGCGUUGUCCGGAUUUAUUGGGCGUAAAGCGAGCGCAGGCGGAAGAAUAAGUCUGAUGUGAAAGCCCUCGGCUUAACCGAGGAAUUGCAUCGGAAACUGUUUUCUUGAGUGCAGAAGAGGAGAGUAGAACUCCAUGUGUAGCGGUGGAAUGCGUAGAUAUAUGGAAGAAUACCAGUGGCGAAGGCGGCUCUCUGGUCUGCAACUGACGCUGAGGCUCGAAAGCAUGGGUAGCGAACAGGAUUAGAUACCCUGGUAGUCCAUGCCGUAAACGAUGAGUGCUAAGUGUUGGGAGGCUUCCGCCUGCUCAGUGCUGCAGCUAACGAACAUUAAGCACUCCGCCUGGGGGAGUACGACCGCAAGGU
This 551-nucleotide ribosomal RNA is filed under the name uncultured bacterium. Its description in RNAcentral is "partial 16S ribosomal RNA". It matches the Rfam family "Bacterial small subunit ribosomal RNA", at positions 355 to 894 of the family's 1533-position model. The record is from RNAcentral.